RNAcentral lists this ribosomal RNA (1184 nucleotides) under Telmessus cheiragonus. Its description in RNAcentral is "partial ribosomal RNA". The stretch from base 443 to 602 matches the Rfam family "5.8S ribosomal RNA". Lineage: Eukaryota; Metazoa; Arthropoda; Malacostraca; Decapoda; Atelecyclidae. The record is from RNAcentral.
CCAUUUCAGGGUGGUCGCGAACCGUCAUAGCAUCACCGCGGCGACUAUGCUUCGCCCGUUUGAUCGAUGGUUCCGGCCAGAGGAAGGGCCAGAGUUGUCCAAAUUCCACCCAACCUCACUCUCUCCCGCCCGCUGUGGGCGGGGGUAGACUAGCACUCACGCCACUGGAAUAAUGUCUAACGGUCGUGGCGAGUUAGUUGGUUGGUUGCUGCUUGGAGGCGUGCGAUGAUGCGGGCAGAGAAUCCGCGCACGCUAUCUCCUUCUCCACCUCCUUCUUCCUCCCCGCCGUCUGUCACCAGAUGGUAACGAGAAACUUCGUGUGUACGCCAGUACCAAAAACCUUUUUAAACUGAUAAACUACGUCUUCCCGAUAUCGUCUCCCGAGGCAGAGACGGAGGAAGUCUUGAGAGUCGGCACAGACCGACGUAAACCAAAAAAUCACAACUCUUAACGGUGGAUCACUCGGCUCGUGGGUCGAUGAAGACCGCAGCAAGCUGCGUGUCGGUAUGUGAAUCGCAAGAAUACCAGAUACAUCGACAAGUCGAACGCACAUUGCGGCGGCAGCACUCUCAUGUGUUGCCGCCACUCCUACACGAGGGUCGGAUAUUACAUCCAAUACAUCGGCUUUGUCUCCACCGGCGCACCGCCCAAAUAAACUACCGCCACUGAUGUGUGCGUGUCAGUUAAAAAUGAGGGUGUUUGUGUGUCCGCGUGGUAGGCAUCGACCGCCUUGGGGAGUCUCGCCUAUCUGGACUAAACAUCCAGGCUGGCGUUCCCUUAAGACGUGCCGCCAAACGCAGUGUUACAACUACGGUAUUGGCGGCAAGGACCACUUUCACACACAGCGAGGAAAGCGGGCAGUAGUAGUAGUGCAUGUUGUUUCUGGGCCAGUGGGGUCAGUGUCCUUAUAUAGUACACGUAACGAACAACGCCGGACUCUUGCGCUGCUGCUGAUGCUGCUGCUGCUACCUCCUGUUGUAGUGUUUGUCGCCGUCCAUGCCUGUCUCGGAUCCCAACCCCCAUGCCUGGGUUGGGGCUCUGCUGCAUAAACUCUUAUCAACGCGUAGGGGCGUUAAGAGAAAGGCGACCGGGUCGGUUUUGUACCUCGGAUCGUAGUAAAACAGCAGUUGCCACAUGAUUGUUGCACACCAUCAAUCAAAGGAAGGGACCGAGCAAAAUGAAUU